This 2469-nucleotide long non-coding RNA is filed under the name Pelobates cultripes (western spadefoot toad). The record is from RNAcentral. Lineage: Eukaryota; Metazoa; Chordata; Amphibia; Anura; Pelobatidae.
ACACAUAUAUAUAUAUAUAUAUAAAAAAAGAAAUUGUAAAUUUACAUUUGACAGAAAAUUCAACCUGCUAACAAAAAAAAUUUAACCUGCUUACAGGGUGCAAAUGAAUUGGAACAAAAAAGCUGAUUAUUAACAGUGAUGGUAUAAGAAGACCCUCAAGAUAAUAAUAUUUCUCAAAAUAAUAACAAUAACUAUACCUAUUGUUAGAAACCAUAAAAAGAUUUUUAAUUAUACAAACAAUUAUAAUAAAAUAAGCAUUGCAGAAGGACAGUAUACCAAUUUAGUAGAACAUUAACAACAAUGCUACAUCCAUUUUCAAAUACGUUAAUAGAUUGAAAUGAAAAAAAUGUUGCUGAAUAGAACAAAUAUAAUUAAUGUACUUUUUUGAUCAAUUAUAUUAGUAGAUUUGACCUCUGUCUGAUACAGAUAUAAAGCUCUUUAAACAAAAAUGCCCAAAUGAGUCACAUUCUCCAUACAAUUAGCUUUUAUUGAGACAAUCACUGGGACCCAGGGAGAUGUACAGAGCUCAGUUAAUUGCUGGAUAACGAACAUACACUAACAGCAGAAUAAAUGCCAAUGCUGCUUGUUUUCAACAUAACAUCACAAAAUAUAAUAUCCAAACAGAUAAAUAACACCAACAGAGAAAUCACAAAAAUUACGCUUUUAAGUGAACAUUUGUUUAUCCUGUAUGUUUAUGGAACCUUGUAUAUGGUGCUCACAUAGAAUACUCUAGAUUUUGUCCAUUUUUUUUCCUACAUUUACUUAAUAUAUUAAUUUCUGCUAUUUGAGAAAUUUAUUUGCUAAACAUUGGGUAGUUUUGCUUUGAAGCCUAUAAACACGAAACAUGUUAGACUCAUAUUUUACUUAGGAGCCUUCCUUUUUUUAUUUCUCUGUUGGUGUAGCAUGAAGCCUUUUUAAUUUUGGACUUUAUACUGAAAACCAACAGUGUUGGCAUUUUCCCUGUUGACAGUAUAUGUCCAUCAGCUGAUGUCUGGUGCAUUUUUUAGGCCUCUGUCUGCUCAAAAAUCUCUCAUUAUGGUGUCAUAUAGUGAAUAAACAAAAUUAGUUUGUAGUUUCAAUUUAAAAUUACACUUUGGCAUUUCAGCAUGUAACUAAAUGUGAACUUUCAAGAAAUCCCGAAUCAUUCCUUAUUUUACUUUUCUCAAAUUUUAAAAUCUAAUGACUUAGUUUAUUAAAUUAGUAUCACGCCAGUUUUUUUUUUUUUUCUGUGUAAUAAUAUUUAUAUACUGACAACAUAUGUUCACAGAAAUCAGAGACUGAUAAUACUGUGUAUUUUUUUUUAAAUGUAUUAAUUUUGAGUAUAUUGAAUUUAUCUGUUAAAUACUAUUUUCCUCAGUCAAAAUGUCAGAAUAAUACCAUCUCAUCAAUAUGCAUUUGUAAGUGAAAAGAGUAAUCCAGGCAUAGACCCCAUGCUGUGCCUUGCUGAAGAUAUCCAAAGAAGGCUAAAAUAAUAUGACGAGUUUUUCUUGAUUUCUUGUGCAUAGAGGACUUGUUGGCAUUUCAGUUCUGGCUUGUCAUUAUUAGUAGGAUAAGGCCUAUAUGCAAAUAGUAUAGGUUCUCUAAAGGCAAGUUUGAGCUUAAUUGUGUUAGAGAUUUGAGCAGGAAGAAGAUCAAGAUAAUUGAUCUUUUUUUCUAUUCUCAUAGCUUCUCUUUUGGAUUGUAAUUAUUUUUUGUAUUGGUAUAAUUUGGCUAAAUUAUUCACUCGCAUACCAUAAGCUUACCUCUUUUCCAUUUCAUUAUGGAGCUCAUAGCAUAGCCAGCUUUUUCAAGAGGAUGAACAAAAUAAUUGAAGAUAACUAAAUGCAAACACCUUAUGUAGUAUGUAAUUUUUGCUGAUGUCCUGAUUCCUUGAAUUGUAGGUUACAAUUUCAUUGUACUUGCUUUUUCAGAAACUGAAUAAAUAAUACAAGUUAAAAAAAAACAUGCAAAGCAGACCAAUGUGGGUUCCCUGAUAAUAUUUGGGAAACAAUGGAUUCUUUUACAGGUAUAAGUUCUGUUAUGCAACACAUUUUGUUGUAGUUUUGGACAACGUAUUUAUAUUCUGAUCUUUUUCUCCUUAUACUCAUAACACAAUACGGCUAGGUCUUCAUUUCUCUUUGCCUUCUUUUUUCUCUUGUAUCUUCUCCAAAUGCAGCUUAACAUGAUUGAAGAAACACCAAUCGCCAGAAUAGAAACCCCCAAAACAAAGGGAACUGAAUCUAGAGGGUUUAUUGCACAAGCAAGGAUUGAUGUUGACAUACCAAUCAAAAAAGUUAUAAUUCCUAAGCCCAGCAUGCAGCUGUGGCACGAAUUCUCCAUGCCACCAGUGGUGGUACUUACAAGAUGUGCAUCCUUGAUUGUUUUUUUGGUUGGUACAUGCUCUUGACUUUUUACAUUUGAGUUUUUCUCAUUAAGGUCAAUUGAAAUCUCCUGAUCUGGAAAGAAUGCAGCCAUUGAGAUAAAUUCUGA